Molecule: ribosomal RNA, 300 nt
Filed under: Escherichia coli 2-222-05_S4_C1
Lineage: Bacteria; Pseudomonadati; Pseudomonadota; Gammaproteobacteria; Enterobacterales; Enterobacteriaceae
Description: partial 16S ribosomal RNA
Source: RNAcentral
ACUGGAUGCGUGAUGUGCAGGGACCAAUACUGCGCGACGCGAUGAAAAUUAUCGGCGAAAUCGAUCUGCGCUUAAUGCUGGCGCAGGCGCUGCAUAUGGGCGAUGAGUGCCAUAACCGCAAUAACGCCGGGACGACGCUGCUGAUUCAGGCGCUGACGCCGGGGAUUAUUCAGGCGGGUUAUUCCGUCGAGCAACAGCGCGAAGUGUUUGAGUUUGUCGCCAGCAGCGACUACUUCUCCGGCCCGACGUGGAUGGCGAUGUGUAAAGCGGCGAUGGAUGCGGCGCAUGGCAUCGAAUACA